CAGGAUUAGAUACCCUGGUAGUCCACGCCCUAAACGAUGAAUGUUAGUCGUCGGGUAGCUAGUCUAUUCGGUGAUGCAGCUAACGCAUUAAACAUUCCGCCUGGGGAGUACGGUCGCAAGAUUAAAACUCAAAGGAAUAGACGGGGACCCGCACAAGUGGUGGAGCAUGUGGUUUAAUUCGAAGAUACGCGAAGAACCUUACUUAGCCUUGACAUAUUUUAGAACUCACCAGAGAUGGAGAGGUGCCUUCGGGAGCUAAUUUACAGGUGCUGCACGGCUGUCGUCAGCUCGUGUCGUGAGAUGUUGGGUUAAGUCCCGCAACGAGCGCAACCCUCGUCACUAGUUACUAACGAUUCGGUCGAGGACUCUAGUGAGACUGCCUUCGUAAGGAGGAGGAAGGUGAGGACGACGUCAAGUCAUCAUGGCCCUUACGGCUAGGGCAACACACGUGCUACAAUGGUUGGGACAGUGAGACGCGAUACCGCGAGGUGGAGCAAAUCUAUAAACCCAAUCUCAGUUCGGAUUGUAGUCUGCAACUCGACUACAUGAAGCUGGAAUCACUAGUAAUCGUAGAUCAGCUAUGCUACGGUGAAUACGUUCCCGGGUCUUGUACUCACCGCCCGUCACACCAUGGGAGUGGGUUGCAAAAGAAGUGGGUAGCCUAACCUUCGGGAGGGCGCUCACCACUUUGUGAUUCAUGACUGGGGUGAAGUCGUAACAAGGUA
This 725-nucleotide ribosomal RNA is filed under the name uncultured bacterium. RNAcentral describes it as "bacterial SSU rRNA". It matches the Rfam family "Bacterial small subunit ribosomal RNA", at positions 773 to 1498 of the family's 1533-position model. The record is from RNAcentral.